UACUAGAGUAGCACUCGCAUAUCAAUAAGCGGAGGAAAAGAAACUAACAAGGAUUCCCCUAGUAACGGCGAGUGAAGCGGGAAGAGCUCAAAUUUGAAAUCUUAAAGGGUUUCCCUUUACGAAUUGUAGUUUAAAGAAGUGUUUUCUGUUGAGGUUUUGGUAAAAGUUCUUUGGAAUAGGACAUCAUAGAGGGUGAGAAUCCCGUAUUUGACCUUUACUUUCAACUUUGUGAUACACUUUCAAAGAGUCGGAUUGUUUGGGAAUGCAGUCCAAGAUGGGUGGUAAAUUUCAUCUAAAGCUAAAUAUUGGCGAGAGACCGAUAGCGAACAAGUACCGUGAGGGAAAGAUGAAAAGAACUUUGAAAAGAGAGUUAAACAGUACGUGAAAUUGUCAAAAGGGAAGCGUUUGACACCAGUGUUGUUUUUCUGAAAAUCAAUUAAAGAACUGUUUAUGCUAAGUUGUUUAGACUUUAUCAGCUAUCUGCUUAGUUUUGAGCUUUUCUUUAAUGCACUUUUCAGUUAACAAGUCAACAUCAAUUUCUUUUGCUGUAAAAAAGCUUGAGGAAGGUGGCUUGAGAUUCGUCUUAAGUGUUUAUAGCCUCUUGCCUAUGCAGUCGGAGAGAUUGAGGUCUGCAGCGUAGAUCCUUCGGGGCUAAAUGCAUUUGUGCUAAGUUAUAGCAUUUUAUAGACAACUUGUUGACUAUGAUUUGUCUUGUAGCUUACUCGCUUAUGUUAUUUUACCUACGCUUAGGAUGUUGAACUCUAUCACACACAG
Molecule: ribosomal RNA, 774 nt
Filed under: uncultured Neocallimastigales
Lineage: Eukaryota; Fungi; Neocallimastigomycota; Neocallimastigomycetes; Neocallimastigales
Description: partial large subunit ribosomal RNA
Rfam family: Eukaryotic large subunit ribosomal RNA
Source: RNAcentral